RNAcentral lists this ribosomal RNA (253 nucleotides) under uncultured bacterium. Its description in RNAcentral is "partial 16S ribosomal RNA". It matches the Rfam family "Bacterial small subunit ribosomal RNA", at positions 524 to 776 of the family's 1533-position model. The record is from RNAcentral.
UACGUAGGGUGCGAGCGUUAAUCGGAAUUACUGGGCGUAAAGCGUGCGCAGGCGGUUCGUUAUGUCCGUUGUGAACGCCCCGGGCUCAACCUGGGAAUGGCAAUGGAAACUGGCGGGCUAGAGUGUGGCAGAGGGGGGUGGAAUUCCGCGUGUAGCAGUGAAAUGCGUAGAGAUGCGGAGGAACACCGAUGGCGAAGGCAGCCCCCUGGGCUAGCACUGACGCUCAGGCACGAAAGCGUGGGGAGCAAACAGG